UGACUGGGGAUCCUUAAGGAACCAACGGGCUCAGACACAGCUGUAUAGUCCUGACUAGGGAUCCUUAAGGAACCAACGGGCUCAGACACAGCUGUAUAGUCCUGACUGGGGAUCCUUAAGGAACCAACAGGCUCAGACACAGCUGUAUAGAACCAACGGGCUCAGACACAGCUGUAUAGUCCUGACUGGGGAUCCUUAAGGAACCAACAGGAUCAGACACAGCUGUAUAGUCCUGACUGGGGAUCCUUAAGGAACCAACGGGAUCAGACACAGCUGUAUAGUCCUGACUGGGGAUCCUUAAGGAACCAACGGGCUCAGACACAGCUGUAUAGAACCAACGGGCUCAGACACAGCUGUAUAGUCCUGACUGGGGAUCCUUAAGGAACCAACGGGCUCAGACACAGCUGUAUAG
Oncorhynchus keta (chum salmon) is the source of this 412-nucleotide long non-coding RNA. RefSeq lists it as uncharacterized. Lineage: Eukaryota; Metazoa; Chordata; Actinopteri; Salmoniformes; Salmonidae. The record is from RefSeq and is a predicted model, not a curated record. The transcript is spliced from 3 exons.